RNAcentral lists this transfer RNA (82 nucleotides) under Deltaproteobacteria bacterium. Its description in RNAcentral is "tRNA-Leu". It matches the Rfam family "tRNA". Rfam says of the family: Transfer RNA (tRNA) molecules are approximately 80 nucleotides in length. Their secondary structure includes four short double-helical elements and three loops (D, anti-codon, and T loops). RNAcentral also lists the same sequence under 3 other names. The record is from RNAcentral. Lineage: Bacteria; Pseudomonadati; Myxococcota; Myxococcia.
GCGAAGGUGGCGGAAUUGGUAGACGCACCAGACUAAGGAUCUGGCGGGGUAACCUGUGGGGGUUCGAGUCCCCCCCUUCGCA